Molecule: long non-coding RNA, 928 nt
Filed under: Bos taurus (domestic cattle)
Lineage: Eukaryota; Metazoa; Chordata; Mammalia; Artiodactyla; Bovidae
Description: long non-coding RNA NONBTAT017080
Source: RNAcentral
CCACAUAUGCUAUAACCUGGUCAGAUAUCCCUAGAGGAACAGAAAGGUAACUGGGUUUUAAUCUUCCUAAAACAUCCAGCAAACCCAAUAAAUCUCUCAUAGAAUGUUUUUUACUUUCUAAGAUAAAAAUUCAUUCUACCUCCUAACUGAAAAUAGAGACACAUUAAAAUGAGACUUAAAGAUGUGAAAGAUGGGGUGGGGCGGGGGGUUGACCAGUUUCAACUGGAAAUUAAUGGAGUUAUAAGUAUAGUUUUCUUACAAUAAGAAGUACUUUAGUACCCACUAAGAAACAUGAAUGAUUUUCACAUAGUAUUGUGAGAAAGAAUUGUUUGAUGUUCCAAAAUUCCAAAGAACUUGGUAUUUCUACACAGAUUCAUUGAGUUACCUGCAAACUGGAGGCUGAUUCUUGUAAUUUCUCCACCAUUAGUGGUGCAAGAAUCCAGUGAAAUAUGUUCUAGUACUGCCCAUAGCAGUCACUACCAAAAGAUUACUAAAUGUAUGUACACACAGUAUAAAUGAUUUUACUGUGUAUUUUAAGGAGAGUUAAAGUCCUGAAAUAAUUCCAAUGAAAUAAUUUGAGUGCAACUGUGUUUUUUUUUUAAUGCAGACUGGUAAAUUAACUUUUACUUAGUAUUGUUUUUAGAGAUACUGUAUCUUUUCUGAUUAAAUUUCACUUAUUUUUUCCAAGCUUUAGCAUUUUUCAUGACCUACUCUUCUCUCUCAUUACCUUCUUGUCAAGAUAAAAAUCUGUAAAAUAUUUAAUAGCAUCCAGAGAGCUCCUUAUUUCUAGGAAUUCUCAGGGGAAUUCCAAGGGCUUUUUAAGCAUUCAGGUAAAUUUCAGACAUGUUUUCUAACUUUUCUAUAACUCUGGAUUUUGUUUCUUUAUUUGUAAAAUAAAACAUUUGAGGCUUUCCCAGGAUGAAGGGUA